AGAGUUUGAUCAUGGCUCAGAAUGAACGUUGGCGGCGUGGAUUAGGCAUGCAAGUCGAGCGACGAGUCCGCUUUCGGGCGGACGACGGAGCGGCGAAAGGGAGAGUAACGCGUAGAUACCUGCCCUCAGAUCUGGGAUAGCGGGGGGAAACCGCCAGUAAUACCAGAUAACGUCUCCGGACCAAAGGUGUGAUUCCGUCUGAGGAGGGGUCCGCGUCCUAUUAGCUAGUUGGUGAGGUAACGGCCCACCAAGGCAACGAUGGGUAGCGGGUGUGAGAGCACGACCCGCAUCACUGGGACUGAGAUACUGCCCAGACACCUACGGGUGGCUGCAGUCGAGAAUCUUCGGCAAUGGGCGAAAGCCUGACCGAGCGACGCCGCGUGCGGGAUGAAGGCCCUCGGGUUGUAAACCGCUGUCAGUGGGGAGGAAGGCUCUGUGAAGAGCAGGGUUUGACCUAUCCGCAGGGGAAGUCCGGGCUAAGUUCGUGCCAGCCGCCGCGGUAAUUC
RNAcentral lists this ribosomal RNA (506 nucleotides) under uncultured Planctomycetaceae bacterium. RNAcentral describes it as "bacterial SSU rRNA". It matches the Rfam family "Bacterial small subunit ribosomal RNA", at positions 8 to 526 of the family's 1533-position model. The record is from RNAcentral. Lineage: Bacteria; Pseudomonadati; Planctomycetota; Planctomycetia; Planctomycetales; Planctomycetaceae.